AUUGAACGCUGGCGGCAGGCCUAACACAUGCAAGUCGAGCGGAUGAAGGGAGCUUGCUCCUGGAUUCAGCGGCGGACGGGUGAGUAAUGCCUAGGAAUCUGCCUGGGAGUGGGGGAUAACGUCCGGAAACGGGCGCUAAUACCGCAUACGUCCUGAGGGAGAAAGUGGGGGAUCUUCGGACCUCACGCUAUCAGAUGAGCCUAGGUCGGAUUAGCUAGUUGGUGGGGUAAAGGCCUACCCAGGCGACGAUCCGUAACUGGUCUGAGAGGAUGAUCAGUCACACUGGAACUGAGAAACGGUCCAGACUCCUAAGGGAGGGAGCAGUGGGGAAUAUUGGACAAUGGGCGCAAGCCUGAUGCAACCAUGCCGCGGGUAUGAAGAAGGGCUUCGGGUUGUAAAAUACUUUUAGCGGGGAGGAAGGGAGAAAAGUUAAUACCUUUGCUCUUUGACGGUACCCAAAGAAGAAGCCCCGGCUAACUCCGUG
RNAcentral lists this ribosomal RNA (484 nucleotides) under uncultured bacterium. RNAcentral's name for it is "partial 16S ribosomal RNA". It matches the Rfam family "Bacterial small subunit ribosomal RNA", at positions 30 to 507 of the family's 1533-position model. The record is from RNAcentral.